Molecule: microRNA precursor, 152 nt
Filed under: Pelobates cultripes (western spadefoot toad)
Lineage: Eukaryota; Metazoa; Chordata; Amphibia; Anura; Pelobatidae
Source: RNAcentral
GCAGACACAUUCCAGUCAAUCAGCAGCAUACCCUCCCUCCGAGACCCUCCCACCUCCUGGACAGCAUCCAUUUUACAUUCAUUGUGAAGCUGUCCAGGAGGUGGGAGGGUCUGGGAGGGAGGGUCUGCUGCUGAUUGGCUGGAAUGUGUCUG